This 506-nucleotide ribosomal RNA is filed under the name uncultured bacterium. RNAcentral describes it as "partial 16S ribosomal RNA". It matches the Rfam family "Bacterial small subunit ribosomal RNA", at positions 28 to 523 of the family's 1533-position model. The record is from RNAcentral.
GAUGAACGCUAGCUACAGGCUUAACACAUGCAAGUCGAGGGGUAACGAGAGGAAAGCUUGCUUUCCUUGUCGACGACCGGCGCACGGGUGAGUAACGCGUAUCCAACCUGCCCCCAACUAGGGAAUAACCUUGCGAAAGUAAGACUAAUACCCUAUAAUUUCCUCAGAUGACAUCUGACGAGGAAUAAAGAUUUAUCGGUUGUGGAUGGGGAUGCGUCUGAUUAGCUUGUUGGCGGGGUAACGGCCCACCAAGGCAACGAUCAGUAGGGGUUCUGAGAGGAAGGUCCCCCACAUUGGAACUGAGACACGGUCCAAACCCCUACGGGAGGCAGCAGUGAGGAAUAUUGGUAAAUGGGCGGAAGCCUGAACCAGCCAAGUAGCGUGCAGGAUGACGGCCCUAUGGGUUGUAAACUGCUUUUAUACAGGAAUAAAGUUAGCCACGUGUGGUUAUUUGUAGGUACUGUAUGAAUAAGGACCGGCUAAUUCCGUGCCAGCCGCCGCCGUAA